This 30-nucleotide non-coding RNA is filed under the name Rattus norvegicus (Norway rat). Lineage: Eukaryota; Metazoa; Chordata; Mammalia; Rodentia; Muridae. The record is from RNAcentral.
AUGAAGGUGUUUACUUGUGGUAUGGGCGCU